AGCGAACGCUGGCGGCAUGCUUAACACAUGCAAGUCGCACGAGGGGUUUCGGCCUCUAGUGGCGGACGGGUGAGUAACACGUAGGUAUCUAUCCACGGGUGGGGGAUAACGGCGGGAAACUGCUGCUAAUACCGCAUGACACCUGAGGGUCAAAGGCGCGAGUCGCCUGUGGAGGAGCCUUCGUCCGAUUAGCUAGUUGGUAGGGUAAUGGCCUACCAAGGCGACGAUCGGUAGCUGGUCUGAGAGGAUGAUCAGCCACAUUGGGACUGAGACACGGCCCAAACUCCUACGGGAGGCAGCAGUGGGGAAUAUUGGACAAUGGGCGCAAGCCUGAUCCAGCAAUGCCGCGUGGAUGAAGAAGGUCUUCGGAUUGUAAAGUCCUUUCGGCGGGGGACGAUGAUGACGGUACCCGCAGAAGAA
This 420-nucleotide ribosomal RNA is filed under the name uncultured bacterium. RNAcentral describes it as "bacterial SSU rRNA". It matches the Rfam family "Bacterial small subunit ribosomal RNA", at positions 29 to 489 of the family's 1533-position model. The record is from RNAcentral.